UUAGCGGCGGACGGGUGAGUAACACGUGGGUAACCUGGCCUGUAAGACUGGGAUAACUCCGGGAAACCGGGGCUAAUACCGGAUGCUUGUUUGAACCGCAUGGUUCAAACAUAAAAGGUGGCUUCGGCUACCACUUACAGAUGGACCCGCGGCGCAUUAGCUAGUUGGUGAGGUAACGGCUCACCAAGGCAACGAUGCGUAGCCGACCUGAGAGGGUGAUCGGCCACACUGGGACUGAGACACGGCCCAGACUCCUACGGGAGGCAGCAGUAG
This 273-nucleotide ribosomal RNA is filed under the name Bacillus subtilis. RNAcentral's name for it is "partial 16S ribosomal RNA". It matches the Rfam family "Bacterial small subunit ribosomal RNA", at positions 92 to 357 of the family's 1533-position model. Lineage: Bacteria; Bacillati; Bacillota; Bacilli; Caryophanales; Bacillaceae. The record is from RNAcentral.